Molecule: long non-coding RNA, 1458 nt
Filed under: Bemisia tabaci
Lineage: Eukaryota; Metazoa; Arthropoda; Insecta; Hemiptera; Aleyrodidae
Description: lncRNA ENSSSA2NGG010435
Source: RNAcentral
CGCACGGCCGAACAGCUGACGCGCAAGACGCACACUUCCAUAGAAAUAGACAGCACGGCGCCUAACCUAGAAAACAUGCGAUAAAUUUCCUUUUUUCGAAAAUCCUUACUAAUAAUCCGAAAUUAUGAUUCGUGAAAAAGAAACAUCAAAAUUGACCGACGUAUGGCUCUAGAAUUCCUCCCGUUCUUCCGUGACCCGACAACUUGCCUCGCGAUUUAAAAUUAUUGUUUCCGUCGUCGAACAUGGCAUUUCGAGACGAGAUCUUCCUCGCCGGAGACACUUCCGGAUCCCUGCUCGGCGUCGAGCUAACCUACUGGUUCCUGGCAGCCUUCGUUAUCUUGGUCCUCCUCUUUCUCAUUGUUCUGCUCAUCCUCUGCGUUUGGUGUUUCAGAGAUCUCAGAACCGUAUGCGACGAUGAUGAAGAUGCUGGCUGCAGCUGCGAAUAAGAGCACGAAAACGAUGAUUCCAAAGAGUUCUUCCUUCACAUUGCAUUGCCAUAGACUAGAUGGCCCUACCGCGUCUAUGGGACUCGCCCUUAGGUAUCGAUGGAAAGAUCGAUCCUCGUAUUCCCAGAUGGAAGUUGUUUCCUAACAGCGUAUCUCAUAAACCACUUUAUGAAACUCCAUCGUUGUAAUUGUCGUGUUUUUCGUGUCCAUUGUUGUAGAUAUUAAAUUUAUGUAUAAAAAUCAUGAUCCUAGGUAUUUUACAAGGGUCUUGUAACGUCAAUCAUCGCCCUUCGGGCGCAAAAUGUGUCCCUGUCCAGAAACAACUUAUCUGAGUACUAUUUUCUGUUGUUUCAAAUGUUCUGCUUUAUUGGCAUUCACGGGUAAUAUUUACACGCACCUCAGAUUUUCACAGAUCAAACUAUUCCUAAUUAGAAAUAUUUUAUUUUUCAUUGUCUGCAGGUAUCUUCUUAGUUUUUAAGAUAGUUGAGCAAUGUUUCCAUAAUGAGUUAUCUGAAAAUAAAUAUGAAAAAUAAAUUAUUUUUAUUAUCUUUUACCGCACUAGAUAAGGGUAAUUUGCCUUGUUAUUUUAUCUUAAUUCGAGAUAGGUAUUUUCAAUUUAAAAUAGACCGUCAAUAAUCAUUCAAAACAGUGAAAACCCUUAUUUGCGGCCGAACAUGAUUGUGAAUCUUCAGUUUUCGAUUCUAUUGCUCUUUAGAACAGAGGGUUUGAAUUUCAAGUCAUAAUUUGAACUAUCGAUGAUUUUAUAAGCGUUUUAAAUGAACCUGUCACUGGUAACAAUGACGUUAAUCUCCAUAUGCGUUAAUCUAAAUUCGCGUUUUUAAAAAAGCGAGCCCUACUGACACGCUUUUCCAAAAAAAAAAAAAAAAAAAAAAAAAAAAAAAAACCUCCAAGUGUUCUUGUCGAUAUUGAAAGUAGAAGCUUGGCAAGUGACCAAGUUUUCUGUAAAUCAAUGGUGAAAGAACGAAACCUUGUAUCUCCGUUUGUCACGCUG